GAGAGAGAGAGAGAGAGAGAGAGAGAGAGAGAGAGAGAGAGAGAGAAAGGAAGAGAUUUGAGAUCUAUUUUUAGGUGGUAUGGGGGUUUGUAUCUUGAGUGUCCUCCAAAAGUCCAGGUGUUACAGGCUUGGUUGUGGUGUUAGCAGAAGAGGGGGUGCCUAGUAGAAGGAAGUUGGGUCACUGGAAGUGGAGCCUUGAAGGGGAUAUGAGAGUCUCUCUCUCUCUCUCUCUCUCUCUCUCUCUCUCUCUCUCUCUCCUUCCCUGU
This 266-nucleotide microRNA precursor is filed under the name Marmota monax (woodchuck). Lineage: Eukaryota; Metazoa; Chordata; Mammalia; Rodentia; Sciuridae. The record is from RNAcentral.